This 451-nucleotide ribosomal RNA is filed under the name uncultured bacterium. RNAcentral describes it as "partial 16S ribosomal RNA". It matches the Rfam family "Bacterial small subunit ribosomal RNA", at positions 29 to 523 of the family's 1533-position model. The record is from RNAcentral.
AACGAACGCUGGCGGCAUGCCUAACACAUGCAAGUCGAACGGAUGGCUUCGGCCAUGAGUGGCGCACGGGUGAGUAACGCGUGGGAACCUGCCUUUGGGUACGGAAUAACGCCGGGAAACUGGUGCUAAUACCGUAUACGUCCUUCGGGAGAAAGAUUUAUCGCCCAAAGAGGGGCCCGCGUCCGAUUAGGUAGUUGGUGGGGUAACGGCCUACCAAGCCAUCGAUCGGUAGCUGGUCUGAGAGGAUGAUCAGCCACACUGGGACUGAGACACGGCCCAGACUCCUACGGGAGGCAGCAGUGGGGAAUAUUGGACAAUGGGGGCAACCCUGAUCCAGCAAUGCCGCGUGAGUGAUGAAGGCCUUAGGGUUGUAAAGCUCUUUCGGCGGGGACGAUGAUGACGGUACCCGCAGAAGAAGCCCCGGCUAACUUCGUGCCAGCAGCCGCCGUAA